This is a long non-coding RNA of Lutra lutra (Eurasian river otter), 499 nucleotides long. RefSeq lists it as uncharacterized. The record is from RefSeq and is a predicted model, not a curated record. The transcript has 2 exons. Lineage: Eukaryota; Metazoa; Chordata; Mammalia; Carnivora; Mustelidae.
CGUCCUUCCUGGGUCCGAACUGCACGGACUCUGCGUCUCUCCCAGGCCGAUGUCCUGAGGUUCCCGCGCCGCAACCAAGCUUUCUGUGACUCGGAGGCCUGGGCGAACUCCAGCGGGGCAGGACACACGGGCCACCUGGAGGAAAGCCUGUGUCCAGCUUCCCCUGCAGUUGGGUCCGGCCCUGUGACCAAGCUCUGGCCCAUGGGACACAAGUGGAAGUGUUCUGUGGAAGUUUCCAGGCAUCUUUUAAGAGAACAGCUGGUCUGUGCCCUUCAACCCUUCUUCCCUCAUUGUGCGGCCUGCAUCAUGGAAGUCAUGGCAGAAGCCCUGACCCCUCUUCUGUCUCUCUCUGUCUCUCUUGAGCUUGAGAUUAGAAGAUUUCCCUUAGGUCAGCAAAAACAAAAGCCAGAAGGAACCCGGGUACCUGAGGACUCCGUGUAACACAACUCUAGUCCUGGUCUGCCUAUGUAAAGAAUUUCAUAGAAAAAUGAAACGAUCU